RNAcentral lists this long non-coding RNA (229 nucleotides) under Ananas comosus (pineapple). Its description in RNAcentral is "long non-coding RNA (ACOM_LNC031583)". The record is from RNAcentral. Lineage: Eukaryota; Viridiplantae; Streptophyta; Magnoliopsida; Poales; Bromeliaceae.
UUUGACUAAAGUUCGAUAUUUAUUUUUCGAAUUCUCGGUAUAUUACAUUCUCCACCCCUUAAAAUAAUUUCGUCCGCGAAAUUAUGCAUAUCUUAACUCGUUGACUCAAAUAAAUGCGCAUACUCNCGAAUUCUCGGUAUAUUACAUUCUCCACCCCUUAAAAUAAUUUCGUCCGCGAAAUUAUGCAUAUCUUAACUCGUUGACUCAAAUAAAUGCGCAUACUCUCUCC